RNAcentral lists this ribosomal RNA (253 nucleotides) under uncultured bacterium. Its description in RNAcentral is "partial 16S ribosomal RNA". It matches the Rfam family "Bacterial small subunit ribosomal RNA", at positions 524 to 776 of the family's 1533-position model. The record is from RNAcentral.
UACAGAGGUGGCAAGCGUUGUUCGGAAUUACUGGGCGUAAAGCGCGUGUAGGCGGCUCUUCAAGUCAGGCGUGAAAGCCCCGGGCUCAACUCGGGAACUGCGCUUGAUACUGUCGAGCUAGAGUGUGGAAGGGGCGAUUGGAAUUCCGUGUGUAGCGGUGAAAUGCGUAGAUAUCAAGAGGAACACCUGCGGCGAAGGCGGGUUGCUGGGCCGACACUGACGCUGAGGCGCGAAAGCCAGGGGAGCGAACGGG